This 851-nucleotide ribosomal RNA is filed under the name uncultured bacterium. RNAcentral's name for it is "bacterial SSU rRNA". It matches the Rfam family "Bacterial small subunit ribosomal RNA", at positions 1 to 848 of the family's 1533-position model. The record is from RNAcentral.
CCUUACCUUGGAUCCUGGCUCAUGAUGAACGCUAGCUACAGGCUUAACACAUGCAAGUCGAGGGGCAGCAUGGUCUUAGCUUGCUAAGGCCGAUGGCGACCGGCGCACGGGUGAGUAACGCGUAUCCAACCUGCCUUACACUCUUGGACAGCCUUCUGAAAGGGAGAUUAAUACAAGAUGUUAUCAUGAGUAAGCAUUUUCGCAUGAUUAAAGGUUUACCGGUGUAAGAUGGGGAUGCGUUCCAUUAGAUAGUAGGCGGGGUAACGGCCCACCUAGUCUUCGAUGGAUAGGGGUUCUGAGAGGAAGGUCCCCCACAUUGGAACUGAGACACGGUCCAAACUCCUACGGGAGGCAGCAGUGAGGAAUAUUGGUCAAUGGACGAGAGUCUGAACCAGCCAAGUAGCGUGAAGGAUGAAGGUUCUAUGAAUUGUAAACUUCUUUUAUACGGGAAUAAACGAAUCCACGUGUGGAUUUUUGCAUGUACCGUAUGAAUAAGGAUCGGCUAACUCCGUGCCAGCAGCCGCGGUAAUACGGAGGAUCCGAGCGUUAUCCGGAUUUAUUGGGUUUAAAGGGAGCGUAGAUGGGUUGUUAAGUCAGUUGUGAAAGUUUGCGGCUCAACCGUAAAAUUGCAAUUGAUACUGGCAGUCUUGAGUACAGUUGAGGUAGGCGGAAUUCGUGGUGUAGCGGUGAAAUGCUUAGAUAUCACGAAGAACUCCGAUUGCGAAGGCAGCUUACUAACCUGUAACUGACAUUGAUGCUCGAAAGUGUGGGUAUCAAACAGGAUUAGAUACCCUGGUAGUCCACACGGUAAACGAUGAAUACUCGCUGUAGGCGAUAUACGGUCUGCGGCC